UACGAAGGGGGCUAGCGUUGUUCGGAAUUACUGGGCGUAAAGGGCGCGUAGGCGGUGCAUCAAGUCAGGCGUGAAAGCCCCGGGCUCAACCUGGGAAUUGCAUUCGAGACUGAAUAGCUAGGGUACGGUAGAGGGAAGUGGAAUUUCCGGUGUAGCGGUGAAAUGCGUAGAUAUCGGAAGGAACAUCAGUGGCGAAAGCGACUUCCUGGACCAGUACCGACGUUCAGGCACGAAAGCGUGGGGAGCAAACAGG
RNAcentral lists this ribosomal RNA (253 nucleotides) under uncultured bacterium. Its description in RNAcentral is "partial 16S ribosomal RNA". It matches the Rfam family "Bacterial small subunit ribosomal RNA", at positions 524 to 776 of the family's 1533-position model. The record is from RNAcentral.